GGAAUGGAUAAGCGCUGAAAGCAUCUAAGCGCGAAGCCAACUUCAAGAUAAGAUUUCCCACCGCAAGGGUAAGACCCCAGAAAGACUAUCUGGUUGAUAGGUCGAAGGUGUAAGUGCAGCAAUGUAUUUAGCUUAUCGAUACUAAUAGGUCGAGGACUUGACCAAUAUUUAUU
RNAcentral lists this ribosomal RNA (173 nucleotides) under Clostridioides difficile. Its description in RNAcentral is "partial 23S ribosomal RNA". It matches the Rfam family "Bacterial large subunit ribosomal RNA", at positions 2757 to 2925 of the family's 2925-position model. Lineage: Bacteria; Bacillati; Bacillota; Clostridia; Peptostreptococcales; Peptostreptococcaceae. The record is from RNAcentral.